This 578-nucleotide ribosomal RNA is filed under the name uncultured bacterium. RNAcentral's name for it is "bacterial SSU rRNA". It matches the Rfam family "Bacterial small subunit ribosomal RNA", at positions 28 to 638 of the family's 1533-position model. The record is from RNAcentral.
AAUCAACGCUGGCGGCGUGCCUAACACAUGCAAGUCGCACGAGAAAGGGUAGCAAUACCUGAGUAAAGUGGCGCACGGGUGAGUAACACGUGACUAAUCUACCCUCGAGUGGGGAAUAACUGAGAGAAAUCUUAGCUAAUACCGCACAACACUUACGAGUCAAAGCAGCAAUGCGCUUGGGGAGGAGGUCGCGGCCGAUUAGCUAGUUGGCGGGGUAAUGGCCCACCAAGGCGAUGAUCGGUAUCCGGCCUGAGAGGGCGCACGGACACACUGGAACUGAAACACGGUCCAGACUCCUACGGGAGGCAGCAGUGGGGAAUUUUGCGCAAUGGGGGAAACCCUGACGCAGCAACGCCGCGUGGAGGAUGAAAUAUCUUGGUAUGUAAACUCCUUUCGACCGGGAAGAUUAUGACGGUACCGGUGGAAGAAGCCCCGGCUAACUUCGUGCCAGCAGCCGCGGUAAUACGAGGGGGGCAAGCGUUGUUCGGAAUUAUUGGGCGUAAAGGGCGCGUAGGCGGUGCGGUAAGUCACCUGUGAAACCUCUAGGCUUAACCUAGAGCCUGCAGGCGAAACUGCCG